UUUUAUCUUUUCUUUUUUUUUUUUACUUCAAAAUUUAAUUAUUCAAGAUAUCAAAGAUGCUGUGUUUGAGAUGAUUAACUACACUGGAGAAGCAGAGACAGUUUAGGACUGGUAACAAAGACAUUUGACAAGGGAAAGAUGAUCUGCCAUGAAUUUAUACAUAUAUAGUUUUUCUUUCCUUCUCUCUCUCUCUUGAAUUGGUAGAAAAUAGAUAUAGAGACAAGCAUCCUCCUGUUCAUGAAAAAUUUUUAUUUUUCUACAAUUUCAAAAAAAGAAUAUGUGCAUACAUAAUGUUAUGUUUUUAUUCUUUAGUAAUGGAUGUUCAUCUUGAUUAGUUGAUGAUAUUGGUGUUGAAUAUGGAAUUUUACAUUUGUUACUGGUACAACUUGAUUGCCAAAGAAAUUGAGGUGUUUCACCAAGGCUAUUCAUGAUGUAAUUUUAUUUGUUUGUCCUUAAUUAUGGGCUGCACAGUAUUACCUAAACUGAACAUGCUCUUUUGCUUUUUUAUUGUUCUUAUGAUCUUCUUGAGAACUCCAAGAAUUCAUUUUGGAGUCUUUAACCUGAGGUUAUUGCAGUCUUAUUCAUGAAGAGGAUUUCUGUUGUACAUUUGUGAAAGUUGUAACAUUACUUGUGAUAUAAUAUAUAGCAAUAAAUUGUUGGAAACAUUAUGGAAGUACUUAGACUUGCUAACUUAAGAAUAUGGUUCUAGCAUCAGAAGAUAGAACAGCUAACUAAAUAUUUUCCUGAAAAAUACAGCUAUUUAUUAUUAUGGACUUAUGCAUUCCUAAUAUUUUUUAAAAGAAUUCUAAAUUGCAUCUUCAGCAUAUAUUGCAAUCAGGGUAUGUAAAACUUUCACUUUGAUUGCCUAAAUUUUCAGGUUGACGGAUCACAGUGUAAGAAUUGCCUUGUUUGGGCUAAAAGUGACAGUUUAGCAAGGGACUUAAUCAAACUAUCAUCGGAUAUUGCGGUGGGCUAUAUUGUUAUGGUGGAUCCUAAUACAGGCAUGAGGAUGAACUUACUAAGAAUGAAGGGAGCUGGGGUGGUUGGUGUUUACCAUCCAUUGAUUGACGAAAAACUCAUGAGAAUUCUGCAUGGGUAUGAACUGCAUUAUGAAAUCUGUGUUACAGUGCAGCAAAUAUUGGUUUUACUUGUAAAUUAGGGUUUGGCAUUUGAUUAAUAACAGGAGGAACAAAACGGUGUAUGCUUGGACUGUUGAUGAUGUGGAUUCCAUGCGAAGAAUGUUGUUUGAGCGGGUAGAUGCUGUCGUCACAAGCAACCCCAGUCUACUUCAACAGAUUAUGCAAGACACUAGAACUCAAUGUCGCGAAGAAGGAUAUACUCUGCCGCAGUGAUACCUAUAUCGUUUGAGUUUGAACCUCUGCUAUACUGCCAUCAACCUCUUCUAUUUUUUGUGGUUAUUACAAGUUACGAAUCUCCUCCCAUCUUUGGAGGUAAGAUGUAGAUUUUAUGUCGUAUAGCAACUGUUAGGUAAACAAAAUUAAUGAUUCCUGGAUUAUAACUCGAGAUUUGGUCUUAAUUUCACCAAUUGUCCUUUCAAUUUUUCAGUUAAAACUUCCAUCGUUGAUUUAAUGAACAUAAACAAAAGCCCA
This 1610-nucleotide unclassified non-coding RNA is filed under the name Hevea brasiliensis (rubber tree). Lineage: Eukaryota; Viridiplantae; Streptophyta; Magnoliopsida; Malpighiales; Euphorbiaceae. The record is from RNAcentral.